CGGCGGCCGUAACUAUAACGGUCCUAAGGUAGCGAAAUUCCUUGUCGGGUAAGUUCCGACCUGCACGAAUGGCGUAAUGAUGGCCAGGCUGUCUCCACCCGAGACUCAGUGAAAUUGAACUCGCUGUGAAGAUGCAGUGUACCCGCGGCAAGACGGAAAGACCCCGUGAACCUUUACUAUAGCUUGACACUGAACACUGGUCCUUGAUGUGUAGGAUAGGUGGGAGGCUUUGAAGCGUGGACGCCAGUCUGCGUGGAGCCGACCUUGAAAUACCACCCUUUAAUGGCUGGUGUUCUAACGUAGACCCGU
RNAcentral lists this ribosomal RNA (309 nucleotides) under Mesorhizobium sp. Its description in RNAcentral is "partial 23S ribosomal RNA". It matches the Rfam family "Bacterial large subunit ribosomal RNA", at positions 1928 to 2236 of the family's 2925-position model. Lineage: Bacteria; Pseudomonadati; Pseudomonadota; Alphaproteobacteria; Hyphomicrobiales; Phyllobacteriaceae. The record is from RNAcentral.